GCUUCAGCAGUGAUUCAUAAAGUCACAUCGUAAUGGCCUGCCCCAUAAUGGCUUGCUUUUUUGCCCCGUUUUCUGAUCUCACCCCAGCAUUCUGCAGAACCUGAGAGCACUCGUCGCCAUGAAUGAAAGUCUGAAAAGCCAGGAACAGGAGUUUAAAGCGCACUGCCGGGAGGAGAUGGCUCGGCUCCAACAGGAAAUUGAGAUCCUGAAAGCCGAGAGAGCGCCAGGCGAGAAGACUAUCUCCAGCGGAGAGCCGCAGGGUGCCCUGACCUCCACCAUGAC
Molecule: long non-coding RNA, 282 nt
Filed under: Rattus norvegicus (Norway rat)
Lineage: Eukaryota; Metazoa; Chordata; Mammalia; Rodentia; Muridae
Description: long non-coding RNA NONRATT008157
Source: RNAcentral